UCCUCGGUGGCGUAAUUGGCUAGCGCGUCUGACUGUUAAUCAGGAGGUUGAAAGUUCGAGCCUUUCCCGGGGAG
The sequence is a transfer RNA, 74 nucleotides long. It matches the Rfam family "tRNA". Rfam says of the family: Transfer RNA (tRNA) molecules are approximately 80 nucleotides in length. Their secondary structure includes four short double-helical elements and three loops (D, anti-codon, and T loops). The record is from Rfam.